RNAcentral lists this long non-coding RNA (330 nucleotides) under Homo sapiens (human). Its description in RNAcentral is "HSALNT0399109". The record is from RNAcentral. Lineage: Eukaryota; Metazoa; Chordata; Mammalia; Primates; Hominidae.
GAUUUUCCUGCCUCAGCCUCCCGAGUAGCUGGGAUUACAGGUUCUGGGAAUUCAGCAGUGAUGAGGAGGUAGUCCUUACUCUCAUGGAACUUGCAAUCUGGUCAGAGAGAGAGAUCCCCAACACGUAGAGACGUAUAUAUAUGGUGUGUCAGGUGACGAGAAACGCUAAAACAAUCCUGAGAUGAGGAGGCUGAGGCCAAAGGAAAGACUAAGACCUGCCCAUGGACACAUGUUGGCAAAGACCAAGCAGGAACUCGAGCCAGUUUACCUGAAACCAAGGUCCAGGCAUUUGUGAAGGUAGAAGGCUGAAUAAAUGAAAUUGUAUAAUUA